GGAUGCGAUCAUACCAGCACUAAAGCACCGGAUCCCAUCAGAACUUCGAAGUUAAGCGUGCUUGGGCGAGAGUAGUACUAGGAUGGGUGACCUCUUGGGAAGUCCUCGUGUUGCAUUCC
RNAcentral lists this ribosomal RNA (119 nucleotides) under Triticum aestivum (bread wheat). Lineage: Eukaryota; Viridiplantae; Streptophyta; Magnoliopsida; Poales; Poaceae. RNAcentral also lists the same sequence under 1 other name. The record is from RNAcentral.